AGGCGGCGGGCGGCCUACGGGAGGCAGCAGUAGGGAAUCUUCGGCAAUGGACGAAAGUCUGACCGAGCAACGCCGCGUGAGCGAAGAAGGCCUUCGGGUCGUAAAGCUCUGUUGUUAGAGAAGAACAUGGGUGAGAGUAACUGUUCACCCCUUGACGGUAUCUAACCAGAAAGCCACGGCUAACUACGUGCCAGCAGCCGCGGUAAU
This 207-nucleotide ribosomal RNA is filed under the name uncultured Enterococcus sp. RNAcentral's name for it is "partial 16S ribosomal RNA". It matches the Rfam family "Bacterial small subunit ribosomal RNA", at positions 326 to 524 of the family's 1533-position model. Lineage: Bacteria; Bacillati; Bacillota; Bacilli; Lactobacillales; Enterococcaceae. The record is from RNAcentral.